GUUUUAAUAAUUUAAAUAAAAUUUUGGUCUUGUAAACCAAAUAUAAAAAAAAUCUUUUAAAACU
This 64-nucleotide transfer RNA is filed under the name Sympiezomias velatus. RNAcentral describes it as "tRNA-Thr". The record is from RNAcentral. Lineage: Eukaryota; Metazoa; Arthropoda; Insecta; Coleoptera; Curculionidae.